UGGGAACGUACCCUUUGGUUCGGAACAACCCAGGGAAACUUGGGCUAAUACCGGAUAAGUCCGUAAGGAGAAAGAUUUAUCGCCAAAGGAUCGGCCCGCGUCUGAUUAGCUAGUUGGUAGGGUAAUGGCCUACCAAGGCUACGAUCAGUAGCUGGUCUGAGAGGAUGAUCAGCCACAUUGGGACUGAGACACGGCCCAGACUCCUACGGGAGGCAG
Molecule: ribosomal RNA, 216 nt
Filed under: uncultured bacterium
Lineage: Bacteria
Description: partial 16S ribosomal RNA
Rfam family: Bacterial small subunit ribosomal RNA
Source: RNAcentral